Molecule: unclassified non-coding RNA, 217 nt
Filed under: plant metagenome
Description: partial contains small subunit ribosomal RNA and internal transcribed spacer 1
Rfam family: Eukaryotic small subunit ribosomal RNA (bases 1-46)
Source: RNAcentral
AAGUCGUAACAAGGUUUCCGUAGGUGAACCUGCGGAAGGAUCAUUACCGAGUGAGGGCGCCCUCGGCGCCCGGACCUCUCAACCCUUUGUGUGACCUGUUCACCUCUGUUCGCCGGUCGGGGCCGGCACCGGCCUGCACCGGCCGCGGGCCCCCGGUGGACCACUCAUAAACACUGCAUCAAUGCGUCGGAGUGAUUUGAAGCAAAUUCAAUCAAAA